GUCCUGAAUACGACAUAAAACUGUUCUUCCGCGCAGUCUGAGUCGCUUGAUCACCGGCUGCUCAACGGACUGUAGCGGGAAAAGUUAAUAUGCACGGCUGUCAUUUGAGCUGACGGCUGCAAUUCUGAAUGGAGUGAUCCUUCAGAGCUGCGGUCUAUUUGUCAUGCCCAUUUGCAGCUUGAGA
Molecule: non-coding RNA, 184 nt
Submitted as: unclassified sequences
Source: Rfam